Molecule: ribosomal RNA, 645 nt
Filed under: Trichoderma lixii
Lineage: Eukaryota; Fungi; Ascomycota; Sordariomycetes; Hypocreales; Hypocreaceae
Description: eukaryotic LSU rRNA
Rfam family: 5.8S ribosomal RNA (bases 257-410)
Source: RNAcentral
UGGAAGUAAAAGUCGUAACAAGGUCUCCGUUGGUGAACCAGCGGAGGGAUCAUUACCGAGUUUACAACUCCCAAACCCAAUGUGAACGUUACCAAACUGUUGCCUCGGCGGGAUCUCUGCCCCGGGUGCGUCGCAGCCCCGGACCAAGGCGCCCGCCGGAGGACCAACCAAAACUCUUAUUGUAUACCCCCUCGCGGGUUUUUUUAUAAUCUGAGCCUUCUCGGCGCCUCUCGUAGGCGUUUCGAAAAUGAAUCAAAACUUUCAACAACGGAUCUCUUGGUUCUGGCAUCGAUGAAGAACGCAGCGAAAUGCGAUAAGUAAUGUGAAUUGCAGAAUUCAGUGAAUCAUCGAAUCUUUGAACGCACAUUGCGCCCGCCAGUAUUCUGGCGGGCAUGCCUGUCCGAGCGUCAUUUCAACCCUCGAACCCCUCCGGGGGGUCGGCGUUGGGGAUCGGCCCUCCCUCUAGCGGGGGCCGUCUCCGAAAUACAGUGGCGGUCUCGCCGCAGCCUCUCCUGCGCAGUAGUUUGCACACUCGCAUCGGGAGCGCGGCGCGUCCACAGCCGUUAAACACCCAACUUUCUGAAAUGUUGACCUCGGAUCAGGUAGGAAUACCCGCUGAACUUAAGCAUAUCAAUAAGCGGAGGA